Long non-coding RNA from Ruditapes philippinarum (Manila clam), 1984 nucleotides. RefSeq lists it as uncharacterized. Lineage: Eukaryota; Metazoa; Mollusca; Bivalvia; Venerida; Veneridae. The record is from RefSeq and is a predicted model, not a curated record. The transcript has 2 exons.
AAAAUUUAUUAUGACUUUCAGUGAAACAAAAAAGAGUGACAAGAAGGUCUGUGCAGAAUGACGAUGUUUUUAACAUAGAGAAUAUUGAUAAUGAAGAAAAUAUUCCCCCACCCUCGUUCAGGUCCCCAAGACCGAGUCUGUUAGGUACUCCACCGGAUCUAAAACAUCGUAGCACUAGUCAUGUAUCUUAUAAUGUGCCAACUGGAACUCUUAUUUCAUUCACACCAUGAACAUCGAGCAUAAAUGAUCAGAUGAAGAUCUUAUAAAAUCAUACUAAGAGUAAGCCAUUCAACACCAUGUCAUUUAUUGCAUAUAUUGACUGGCUAAGAAUGCAUUGUAACUUGACAGGAAGAUAAAGAUUAUCAAGACAAAGCCACCAUUGGUUUUGAUGUAAAGUGCAUUUCAUACAUUUGUGUCAAGAAAAGUUGACCUUACAAGAUUGCUUCACCCACAGCAUUAUAACUGUGUAGUGUGUUACUUUACGCCAACCUACAUUACUGAAAGUAUUUAAUAUAGUGUUUAAAACAGACUUUACUGUCAUUGUGCUUGGAAUUUUCUUGUCUAACUCAAAGAAUAUUCUUAUUGAUGGCAAUAUAUGAAAACAGCUGUUGUGUGUCCCUGAAAACAUUUUAAUAUUUGUGUGCUAUAUGAGAUAGAGUAUUUUUCCAAAGAUGCUAACUUUAUCACGGAAGAAAUAAAUGGAGGUUUCAUCGCUUGAUUGUAUCAUAAACUUAUGUAUUAAAUUUGUAAAUAGAGGUUUUAUCCGAGUAAUGUAUCAUAGAAAACAAUAAGUUUGCUCAUUAUUGUAAAAGAUUAUAUAGUCGAGAGCUUGGUUUUAGAUUAUAUAUAGUUUCAACACUUCAACAGUGAUACUAUAAACUAAAGUAUUAAAAAAUGAAUAUUCAUACAUGAAUUACAAUGUUUUGAAGUUAGUAAGUUUAAAGAAUGGGAAAAAAAUGGAAAAAAAAAAGUUUAAAGAAUGCAAGAAGAAAAAUAAAAAAAUAAAAAUACUGGUUUGGUAAGCUAGGUAAAUGUAUUUAAGUUUGUACUUUAUCAAACUUAUUUAACCAUUAAAUUGAUUUGGUACUAACUACUCACUGAUAAUUGGCAAGAAUUCAGGACUGUCAUGUUUGUUAAUUUUCUAAUUUAUUGUUUAAGAGAGAAAAAUGGAACUACAUGUAUAUUGUAUAAAUUAUUAUAAGGAGAGCAGUCCUGCUCGCCCAUUGACUGCAAUUAAGUUUUUUUAUUAAUGAUAAUGUGCAGUAAAAUAUGUUUUUCAAACUUAAGAGUUUAACUUCAGACUUGAUUCAUUUAUUACUUACCAGACUCUUGUUUUCCUAUAUUCAAAAUACACAUGUAAUGCUGUAUUAUCUUUAGAUUUAAAAGAUAUGUGUAAAUAUUGUUACUUGUUACUUUUUCUUAAUUACAUACAAGAUUUCCUUUAAUCUUAAAUAUUUACUUAUCUUUCACUUGUCAUAUUGCAAUGUUCAUAACAAUGAAAAAAAAUAUUUUAAAAUUUUUCUUCAUGCACUUAAAUGUAAAAAUUUUCUUUCUUUUCUUAACUAAAUCUUUUUCUUUCUUUUUUCAUUCAAACUUGGAAAUUUCUGUUAAUAAUUCAUUAUUUUAUUCAAGGAUGUACAUUACUUGCAUGUUAUGAUUUUUCUUAAUAUUGAAAAAUGCAAUAAAUCUAUUUCAGUGGAUUUUUUCUCUUGUAAUAUACUUACAGUAUAAAAUAAUUUUUGUGUGCUUUCUCCAGAUAAUUAUUUUUCAUAAUAUCAUAUGUUUGAUUAUUUGUUCAUCCUGUUCUCUUUUUCUUAUAUUCUCUAAAAGUUUCUUGCUAUCUGUAACUGAAUUUUCUAAAAUCUUCAUUAAUUCUCUUUAUUGUGUUUUUUUGUAUGAGUUGAUACAAACAUGUGUUUGAAUUCUUCAUAUCUAUGUAACAUUCUUUAUAAUCUGUUUACAAAUAAAAUUGUUUCAAUUUGUA